UGAACGCUGGCGGCGUGCCUACUACAUGCACAUCGAGCGACCAGACGAGGAGCUUGCUCCUCUGACGUUAGCGGCGGACGGGUGAGUAACACGUGGAUAACCUACCUAUAAGACUGGGAUAACUUCGGGAAACCGGAGCUAAUACCGGAUAAUAUAUUGAACCGCAUGGUUCAAUAGUGAAAGACGGUUUUGCUGUCACUUAUAGAUGGAUCCGCGCCGCAUUAGCUAGUUGGUAAGGUAACGGCUUACCAAGGCAACGAUGCGUAGCCGACCUGAGAGGGUGAUCGGCCACACUGGAACUGAGACACGGUCCAGACUCCUACGGGAGGCAGCAGUAGGGAAUCUUCCGCAAUGGGCGAAAGCCUGACGGAGCAACGCCGCGUGAGUGAUGAAGGUCUUCGGAUCGUAAAACUCUGUUAUUAGGGAAGAACAAAUGUGUAAGUAACUAUGCACGUCUUGACGGUACCUAAUCAGAAAGCCACGGCUAACUACGUG
RNAcentral lists this ribosomal RNA (495 nucleotides) under uncultured bacterium. RNAcentral describes it as "partial 16S ribosomal RNA". It matches the Rfam family "Bacterial small subunit ribosomal RNA", at positions 30 to 507 of the family's 1533-position model. The record is from RNAcentral.